This is a long non-coding RNA of Pyrgilauda ruficollis (rufous-necked snowfinch), 362 nucleotides long. RefSeq lists it as uncharacterized. NCBI's taxonomy places the organism in Eukaryota, Metazoa, Chordata, Aves, Passeriformes, Passeridae. The transcript has 3 exons. The record is from RefSeq and is a predicted model, not a curated record.
GUGGCUCUCGCGAGAGCCAGCGGGUAAACAUCGGCCCCCUCCGCGGGCCCGCCCGCUGCCAUUAGCGCGGGGGCGGCGGCGCGCUCGGAGCUGGUGGGAGGAAUGAAAGAAUAUCCGCUUCUAAUUUUGCUCUGAAGAGUGAAAAGAAAUAGGAGCCCACAGGCUACUGACCUGAGAGAGUUUGAGCCUGUGAUCACUGAUAUGCUGUAGAGGAGCUCCAGUCUUAACAAAGACCUUGGCAUAUUGGAGUGUGUUAAAUUUCCUUCCACAGAAGGGGAAACAAAAUUUUUCUUGUCUUUGAUCAGAUGAAAGGUUGUGAAACCUUUUUCUACUCUGUGUAAUAAAGAGAGCUGUUUACAAUU